GAAAUGCGAUAAGUAAUGUGAAUUGCAGAAUUCAGUGAAUCUUCGAAUCUUUGAACGCACCUUGCGCUCCUUGGUAUUCCUUGGAGCAUGCCUGUUUGAGUAUCAUGAAAUCUUCAAAGUAAAUCUUUUGUUAACUCAAUUGGUUUCUACUUUGGUAUUGGAGGUCUUUGCAGCUUCACACCUGCUCCUCUUUGUUCAUUAGCUGGAUCUCAGUGCUAUGCUUGGUUCCACUCGGCGUGAUAAGUUAUCUAUCGCUGAGGACACUGUAAAAGGUGGCCAAGGUAAAUGCAGAUGAACCGCUUCUAAUAGUCCAUUGACUUGGACAAUACUUUUAUGAUCUGAUCUCAAAUCAGGUAGGACUACCCGCUGAACUUAAGC
Molecule: unclassified non-coding RNA, 378 nt
Filed under: plant metagenome
Description: partial contains 5.8S ribosomal RNA, internal transcribed spacer 2, and large subunit ribosomal RNA
Rfam family: 5.8S ribosomal RNA (bases 1-105)
Source: RNAcentral